AUGAUCCCAAAUCCCUGCGGGAAUGAUCCCGGCGNAAAUCCCCCAAAUUCAGCCACUUUUCCUUGGGAAUCUGCUUGGGAUAAGGUUUUUUUUGGGGAAUUCUCGAUCCAGGAUGGGUCAGAGGGGUUAAACCUCGGGCUGGAGAUCAAAAAUCCAAGGAUUUGGGUGGGAUUGGGAUGGGAUUUGGGUGUCCCUGAGCCUCGGGAUCCUUUCCCAUCCUGGGAUUUAUCCCUGGAAUUGAGGAUUUAUCCCUGGAAUUGUGAAUUUAUCCCUGGAAUUGUGGAUUUAUCCCUGGAAUUUGGGGAUUUAUCCCUGGAAUUUGAGGAUUUAUCCCUGGAAUUGAGGAUUUAUCCGUGGAAUUUUGGAAUUUAUCCCUGGAAUUUGGGAUUUAUCCUUGGAAUUGUGGAUUUAUCCCUGGAAUUUGGGGAUUUAUCCCUGGAAUUUGGGGAUUUAUCCCUGGAAUUGGGGAUUUAUCCCUGGAAUUUGGGAUUUAUCCCUGGAAUUGUGGCUUUAUCCCUGGAAUUUUGGGAUUUAUCCCUGGAAUUGGGGAUUUAUCCCUGGAAUUGGGGAUUUAUCCCUGGAAUUUUAGGAUUUAUCCCUGGAAUUGGGGAUUUAUCCCUGGAAUUUGGGAUUUAUCCCUGGAAUUUGGGGAUUUAUCCCUGGAAUUUGGGGAUUUAUCCCUGGAAUUUGGGAUUUAUCCCUGGAAUUGGGGAUUUAUCCCUGGAAUUUGGGAUUUAUCCCUGGAAUUUUGGGAUUUAUCCCUGGAAUUUGGGGAUUUAUCCCUGGAAUUUGGGAUUUAUCCCUGGAAUUGUGGCUUUAUCCCUGGAAUUUGGGGAUUUAUCCCUGGAAUUGGGGAUUUAUCCCUGGAAUUUGGGAUUUAUCCCUGGAAUUGUGAAUUUAUCCCUGGAAUUUGGGGAUUUAUCCCUGGAAUUGUGGAUUUAUCCCUGGAAUUUGGGAUUUAUCCCUGGAAUUUUAGGAUUUAUCCCUGGAAUUGUGGAUUUAUCCCUGGAAUUUGGGAUUUAUCCCUGGAAUUGUGGAUUUAUCCCUGGAAUUUUGGGAUUUAUCCUUGGAAUUUGGGGAUUUAUCCCUGGAAUUUGGGGAUUUAUCCCUGGAAUUGUGGAUUUAUCCCUGGAAUUUGGGGAUUUAUCCCUGGAAUUUGGGAUUUAUCCCUGGAAUUUGGGGAUUUAUCCCUGGAAUUUGAGGAUUUAUCCCUGGAAUUGGGGAUUUAUCCCUGGAAUUGGGGAUUUAUCCCUGGAAUUUGGGGAUUUAUCCCUGGAAUUGGGGAUUUAUCCCUGGAAUUGGGGAUUUAUCCCUGGAAUUUGGGCUCUAUCCCUGUCCCUUUUCUGUGAAUUCCUCCCCAAAAUCCCACCUAAAUUCCCCCUUUUCCACUUUAAACCCAUUCCCUGA
Molecule: long non-coding RNA, 1407 nt
Filed under: Cyanistes caeruleus (blue tit)
Lineage: Eukaryota; Metazoa; Chordata; Aves; Passeriformes; Paridae
Description: lncRNA (ENSCCEG00000002267.1)
Source: RNAcentral